GUCCAGCUCAGUCGGUAGGGCACAAGGCUUUUAACCUUGUGGUUGUGGGUUCGAGCCCCAUGGUAGACG
Molecule: transfer RNA, 69 nt
Filed under: Zea mays
Lineage: Eukaryota; Viridiplantae; Streptophyta; Magnoliopsida; Poales; Poaceae
Rfam family: tRNA
About the family: Transfer RNA (tRNA) molecules are approximately 80 nucleotides in length. Their secondary structure includes four short double-helical elements and three loops (D, anti-codon, and T loops).
Source: Rfam by way of RNAcentral